GCUUUUGGAGGAUGGCUUUGCUUUUAGAGAUCUUUCCCUCUGGGAGACUGGGUGCUGCUCCAGGGGUGGUGGCAGGCAGGCAGAUGGGUAGAUGGACAUCCUUUUUCUCAGUCCAUCCCUCCUAGUUUUUUGUGCUUCAGGCAGAAAACCCCACCCAUGGUUCUGUCUGAAGCAUACCUCUGCAUCCUGGAACUUUGCUCUUUUCCUUAUUGAGUCUACUGCCCUGUGUUUCCUCCUUCCUUUAGGGCCACGGCCAAAACCUGCCGUGGAUUUCCCAGAAUAACUCCUGCUUUUAGUCCCAUCAUCUCCUGGAACAUUUCCUCAAACCAAAGCCAAGCUCACUGUCCCCGUGCCAAGCCGAGCUGCUGCAAGGGCAGCUGUGAGAGGCUCUUGUGUAUGAAGAUGCUUUCUGUUCCCACAGCCAGUGCUGAGGUCAGGGUGUUUAUGAGAGUUAUGAAUGGAAGGAGAAGCUACUGUGCUGAGCCAAACCCCAUUGCUCUGCCUGGUGGAGACAACAGUGAUGUUACCAACCAGAUACUUCGGCUGAUGGCUGGUGUAACUGAGCUUGUGGUGCUCUGCAGGAUGCUGACAUCUGGAUCACAAGGAGGUCAACCACAUCAUCACCAGGAC
RNAcentral lists this long non-coding RNA (630 nucleotides) under Anas platyrhynchos platyrhynchos (common mallard). RNAcentral describes it as "lncRNA (ENSAPLG00000028732.1)". Lineage: Eukaryota; Metazoa; Chordata; Aves; Anseriformes; Anatidae. The record is from RNAcentral.